AUUCCAGCUCCAAUAGCGUAUAUUAAAGUUGUUGCGGUUAAAAAGCUCGUAGUUGGAUUUCUGCUGAAGCAAACCGGUCCGCCCUCUGGGUGAGCAUCUGGCUUUAUUUUGGCAUAUGCUUAGACUUUGCAGCUGCACUUGACUGUGUGGUGUGAAGGCUAAGCCAUUUACUUUGAGGAAAUCAGAGUGUUUCAAGCAGGCAAUUGCCUUGAAUACACUAGCAUGGAAUAAUAUGAUAUGACUGUGGUUUUAUUUUGUUGGCUUCUAGAAUUAGAGUAAUGGUUAAUAGGGAUAGUUGGGGGCAUUCAUAUUUAACUGUCAGAGGUGAAAUUCUUGGAUUUGUUAAGGAUGAACGACUGCGAAAGCAUUUGCCAAGGAUGCUUUCAUCA
This 389-nucleotide ribosomal RNA is filed under the name Tripos sp. RNAcentral's name for it is "partial small subunit ribosomal RNA". It matches the Rfam family "Eukaryotic small subunit ribosomal RNA", at positions 582 to 975 of the family's 1831-position model. Lineage: Eukaryota; Dinophyceae; Gonyaulacales; Ceratiaceae. The record is from RNAcentral.